CUACCAUGCAGUCGAACGAUGAAGCCCAGCUUGCUGGGUGGAUUAGUGGCGAACGGGUGAGUAACACGUGAGUAACCUGCCCUUGACUCUGGGAUAAGCCUGGGAAACUGGGUCUAAUACCGGAUAGGAACGUCCACCGCAUGGUGGGUGUUGGAAAGAUUUAUCGGUCAUGGAUGGACUCGCGGCCUAUCAGCUUGUUGGUGAGGUAAUGGCUCACCAAGGCGACGACGGGUAGCCGGCCUGAGAGGGUGACCGGCCACACUGGGACUGAGACACGGCCCAGACUCCUACGGGAGGCAGCAGUGGGGAAUAUUGCACAAUGGGCGAAAGCCUGAUGCAGCGACGCCGCGUGAGGGAUGACGGCCUUCGGGUUGUAAACCUCUUUCAGUAGGGAAGAAGCGAAAGUGACGGUACCUGCAGAAGAAGCACCGGCUAACUACGUGCCAGCAGCCGCGGUAAUACGUAGGGUGCGAGCGUUAUCCGGAAUUAUUGGGCGUAAAGAGCUCGUAGGCGGUUUGUCGCGUCUGUCGUGAAAGUCCGGGGCUUAACCCCGGAUCUGCGGUGGGUACGGGCAGACUAGAGUGCAGUAGGGGAGACUGGAAUUCCUGGUGUAGCGGUGGAAUGCGCAGAUAUCAGGAGGAACACCGAUGGCGAAGGCAGGUCUCUGGGCUGUAACUGACGCUGAGGAGCGAAAGCAUGGGGAGCGAACAGGAUUAGAUACCCUGGUAGUCCAUGCCGUAAACGUUGGGCACUAGGUGUGGGGACCAUUCCACGGUUUCCGCGCCGCAGCUAACGCAUUAAGUGCCCCGCCUGGGGAGUACGGCCGCAAGGCUAAAACUCAAAGGAAUUGACGGGGGCCCGC
This 862-nucleotide ribosomal RNA is filed under the name Micrococcus sp. YC6895. RNAcentral's name for it is "bacterial SSU rRNA". It matches the Rfam family "Bacterial small subunit ribosomal RNA", at positions 49 to 924 of the family's 1533-position model. Lineage: Bacteria; Bacillati; Actinomycetota; Actinomycetes; Micrococcales; Micrococcaceae. The record is from RNAcentral.